Molecule: ribosomal RNA, 163 nt
Filed under: uncultured bacterium
Lineage: Bacteria
Description: partial 16S rRNA
Rfam family: Bacterial small subunit ribosomal RNA
Source: RNAcentral
UAGGGAAUCUUCCACAAUGGACGAAAGUCUGAUGGAGCAACGCCGCGUGAGUGAAGAAGGGUUCGGCUCGUAAACUCUGUUGUUAAAGAAGAACAUAUCUGAGAGUAACUGUUCAGGUAUUGACGGUAUUUAACCAGAAACGCCACGGCUAACUACGUGCCAC